AAAGUUUAGACACAUAAAUUUUGAAGGUCUAGCUAUCCCAUAUUAUUACCCACAAGGGUAAAGGAACAGUAUCACUGCUGGAUAAUUGGAAAGUCCCUGUGUGUCAACCUCUGUGCUUCGUGGCAAGGUAGACUAGCAAACAUGCCCAACCUUUACUCACAUUCGAGAAAACACUCCCAACAAGAUUGCUUGCUCCAAAAUCGAAGAGGCACCGUCCUCCGAAUCUCGAGAGCCAGACUCCCAACAUGACUACUUUCUCAAAAAUCGAAAAGAGGGUAAAGGAACAGUACCAUUGCUGGAUAAUUGGAAAGUCCCUGUGUGUCAACCUCUGUGCUUCGUGGCAAGGUAAACUAGCAAACAUGACCAACCUUUACUCACAUUCGAGAAAACACUCCCAACAAGAUUGCUUGCUCUAAAAUCGAAGAGGCACCGCCCUCCGAAUCUCGAGAGCCAGACUCCCAACAUGAUUACCUUCUCAAAAAUCGAAGAGAUACCGCUCUCCGAAUCUCGAGAGCCAGACCCCCAGCAGGAUUGCUUUCUCAAAAAUCGAAGAGACAUCGUUCUCCGAAUCUCGAGAGCCAGAUCCCUGAUAGGAUUGCUUGUUCGAAAACCGAAGAGGCAACACUUUCCCAACUACAAGAGCCGGAUCUCCUUGGAUAAAGCUGUCUGUAAUCUUCACACGCAACAUCAGCUUUCCACAUACCACAGACCACUUUUUCAAAGUGCUCUGACAGGGUAAAGGAAUAGCAUUACUACUUGUUGUUAAGGAGACUCCUAUAUAUGUCAACCUCCAUCCCCAACGGACAGACAGACCUGCAAAAAUG
Molecule: long non-coding RNA, 824 nt
Filed under: Malus domestica (apple)
Lineage: Eukaryota; Viridiplantae; Streptophyta; Magnoliopsida; Rosales; Rosaceae
Description: long non-coding RNA (MDOM_LNC017289)
Source: RNAcentral